CCUACGGGCGGCUGCAGUGGGGAAUAUUGGACAAUGGGGGCAACCCUGAUCCAGCCAUGCCGCGUGUGUGAAGAAGGCCCUCGGGUUGUAAAGCACUUUCAGUGAGGAAGAACGCCUGGUGGUUAAUACCCAUCAGGAAAGACAUCACUCACAGAAGAAGCACCGGCUAACUCCGUGCCAGCAGCCGCGGUAAUACGGAGGGUGCGAGCGUUAAUCGGAAUUACUGGGCGUAAAGCGCGCGUAGGUGGCUUGAUAAGCCGGUUGUGAAAGCCCCGGGCUCAACCUGGGAACGGCAUCCGGAACUGUCAAGCUAGAGUGCAGGAGAGGAAGGUAGAAUUCCCGGUGUAGCGGUGAAAUGCGUAGAGAUCGGGAGGAAUACCAGUGGCGAAGGCGGCCUUCUGGACUGAAACUGACACUGAGGUGCGAAAGCGUGGGUAGCAAACAGGAUUAGAUACCCCAGUAGUC
RNAcentral lists this ribosomal RNA (465 nucleotides) under Vreelandella stevensii. Its description in RNAcentral is "partial 16S ribosomal RNA". It matches the Rfam family "Bacterial small subunit ribosomal RNA", at positions 338 to 795 of the family's 1533-position model. Lineage: Bacteria; Pseudomonadati; Pseudomonadota; Gammaproteobacteria; Oceanospirillales; Halomonadaceae. The record is from RNAcentral.